This 544-nucleotide long non-coding RNA is filed under the name Lonchura striata (white-rumped munia). RNAcentral describes it as "domestica (Bengalese finch) lncRNA (ENSLSDG00000012526.1)". Lineage: Eukaryota; Metazoa; Chordata; Aves; Passeriformes; Estrildidae. The record is from RNAcentral.
UGAGCCCAGAAGAAAAGAGAGACUGAGAGAGAGGAGGGUGGAUCAGGGACGGGAGCUGGAGCUGGAGGUGUCUGAGAGCCGGACACGGGAAAGGGAGGAAGAAGUGGCCGCCAGAAACCUGAGAGAGACACGGGAGAGACGAGAGCGAGAAAUUCGUGACCUUGAUGAUGAUGGAAGAAGACAGAGAGAAUCAGUGAGGUACGAGAGGGAGAGAGAGAUCUCAGUGGCAGCAGCAGAAGACAGGAGAAGAGAGAUCUCAGUGGCAGCAGCAGAAGCCGAUGUCAGAGUGCGCCGUGAGAUCCAGGAACGAGGUGAGGAGCUGAGAAGGAAAGAACGUCCCCGUGAGGGUGAGGAGGAAGCAGAGCCAGGGAGGAGAAUCUCCCGGGUCAGAGAGAGGGAAGAGGCCCUGAGGGAGAGGAGAAUCGACCGGGAGCGGGAGCUGGAGCUGGAGCUGGAGCUGGAGGCCUCUGAGCGCCGCAGCCGCCAGCCACGGGCCAGGGCGGCCCAAGUGACCAUCACUGACCAGAGGGAGGCACGUGAGGAG